CACCCAGGGUAGUGGAUCACUAGGCUCGUGGGUCGAUGAAGAACGCAGCAAAUUGCGCGUCGACAUGUCAACUGCAGGACAUAUGAACAUCGACGUUUCGAACGCACAUUGCGGUCCAUGGAUUCCGUUCCCAGGCCACGUCUGGCUGAGGGUCG
This 155-nucleotide ribosomal RNA is filed under the name Schistocerca americana (American grasshopper). RNAcentral describes it as "5.8S ribosomal RNA". It matches the Rfam family "5.8S ribosomal RNA". Rfam says of the family: 5.8S ribosomal RNA (5.8S rRNA) is a component of the large subunit of the eukaryotic ribosome. It is transcribed by RNA polymerase I as part of the 45S precursor that also contains 18S and 28S rRNA. Functionally, it is thought that 5.8S rRNA may be involved in ribosome translocation. The record is from RNAcentral. Lineage: Eukaryota; Metazoa; Arthropoda; Insecta; Orthoptera; Acrididae.